Molecule: ribosomal RNA, 132 nt
Filed under: Triticum aestivum (bread wheat)
Lineage: Eukaryota; Viridiplantae; Streptophyta; Magnoliopsida; Poales; Poaceae
Description: partial small subunit ribosomal RNA
Source: RNAcentral
AUGUAUACAACAAAAAUAUUUAUCUUACUAUCUUUAUCAGAUCUCACUUUCGCAAGUGAUUAUGAAGGGAUUGACAACCCCUUUAUCACGUUGGUUGCGAGGUUCUUGAUUGUUUGUGCAGGUACUAGAUGA